This 204-nucleotide ribosomal RNA is filed under the name Vibrio parahaemolyticus. RNAcentral's name for it is "partial 16S ribosomal RNA". It matches the Rfam family "Bacterial small subunit ribosomal RNA", at positions 270 to 472 of the family's 1533-position model. Lineage: Bacteria; Pseudomonadati; Pseudomonadota; Gammaproteobacteria; Vibrionales; Vibrionaceae. The record is from RNAcentral.
AAGGCGACGAUCCCUAGCUGGUCUGAGAGGAUGAUCAGCCACACUGGAACUGAGACACGGUCCAGACUCCUACGGGAGGCAGCAGUGGGGAAUAUUGCACAAUGGGCGCAAGCCUGAUGCAGCCAUGCCGCGUGUGUGAAGAAGGCCUUCGGGUUGUAAAGCACUUUCAGUCGUGAGGAAGGUAGUGUAGUUAAUAGCUGCAUU